This 510-nucleotide ribosomal RNA is filed under the name Hygrobia australasiae. RNAcentral's name for it is "partial 16S ribosomal RNA". The stretch from base 387 to 510 matches the Rfam family "Bacterial large subunit ribosomal RNA", at positions 2473 to 2597 of the family's 2925-position model. The record is from RNAcentral. Lineage: Eukaryota; Metazoa; Arthropoda; Insecta; Coleoptera; Hygrobiidae.
GUCCUUUUGGGAUUAAUAUAAGGUCUAGCCUGCCCACUGAAUAUUUUAAAUGGCCGCAGUAUAUUGACUGUGCGAAGGUAGCAUAAUCAUUAGUUUUUUAAUUAAAAGCUUGUAUGAAAGGUUGGACGAGGUAAGUUCUGUCUCUAUUUAAUUUAAAUUAGAAUUUAAUUUUUAAGUUAAAAAGCUUAAAUAAGAGUAAAAGACGAGAAGACCCUAUAGAUCUUGAUAAUUAAUAAAUAAAUAUUAAUUAGGAUUUUUUAUUAUUUUUAUUUUAUAAUUAUUUUAUUGGGGUAAUAGAAAGAUUAAUAUAAUUCUUUUUUUUAAUUAACAUAGAUUAAUGAUUAUUUGAUCCAUUUUUAUUGAUUAUAAGAUUAAGUUACCUUAGGGAUAACAGCGUAAUUUUUUUAGAGAGUUCAUAUCGAUAAAAAAGUUUGCGACCUCGAUGUUGGAUUAAAAAUUAUUCUGGGUGAAGAAGUUCAGAAUUUUGGUCUGUUCGACCAUUAAAUUUUU